UACGAAGGGGGCGAGCGUUGUUCGGAUUUACUGGGCGUAAAGGGCGCGCAGGCGGUCUUGAAAGUCAGGCGUGAAAGCCCCGGGCUUAACCUGGGAAUUGCGCUUGAUACUCUGAGACUGGAGUACGGGAGAGGAGAGUGGAAUUCCCAGUGUAGUGGUGAAAUACGUAGAGAUUGGGAAGAACACCAGUGGCGAAGGCGGCUAUCUGGACGGUUUCUGACGCUAAGACGCGAAAGCGUGGGGAGCGAACAGG
RNAcentral lists this ribosomal RNA (253 nucleotides) under uncultured bacterium. Its description in RNAcentral is "partial 16S ribosomal RNA". It matches the Rfam family "Bacterial small subunit ribosomal RNA", at positions 524 to 776 of the family's 1533-position model. The record is from RNAcentral.